Non-coding RNA from Glossina brevipalpis, 92 nucleotides. NCBI's taxonomy places the organism in Eukaryota, Metazoa, Arthropoda, Insecta, Diptera, Glossinidae. The record is from Rfam.
GGUGGCUUUAGUACGUAGGCGCGAUGGAUGGUGAAUCGUGCAUGCUACUGGGACGGGGGACGGUCCGGUAGUAUCUCUGGAAGAUUUCCACC